Long non-coding RNA from Otolemur garnettii (small-eared galago), 285 nucleotides. RefSeq lists it as uncharacterized. Lineage: Eukaryota; Metazoa; Chordata; Mammalia; Primates; Galagidae. The transcript is spliced from 3 exons. The record is from RefSeq and is a predicted model, not a curated record.
AUGACACAGCCCUGGCUGACAAACUGGACUGCAACUUUGUGAGAAGCCCUGAGCUAGAAGAAAACUCAUCUGGAUUCUUGAGAUAUAAGAAGAAUUCCCAUGGCUUAAAGGAUGCAUUUUAUUACCACUCACAACCACCUAUUCAUUUGAACUUCUAUUUCCAACUGUGACCCAUUAAAGACAAAGGGGCUUACAAGAGUGAGAUCAAACCAUUGGAGCAUUUGAAGUGAAAAAAUGACAGAAUCUGACUCUCAGUAGCAGUGAUCACCAUGGAGAACAGUCCUG